Molecule: ribosomal RNA, 501 nt
Filed under: uncultured bacterium
Lineage: Bacteria
Description: partial 16S ribosomal RNA
Rfam family: Bacterial small subunit ribosomal RNA
Source: RNAcentral
AUUGAACGCUGGCGGCAUGCCUUACACAUGCAAGUCGAACGGCAGCACGGGAGCUUGCUCCUGGUGGCGAGUGGCGAACGGGUGAGUAAUGCAUCGGAACGUACCCGGAAGUGGGGAUAACGUAGCGAAAGUUACGCUAAUACCGCAUAUUCUGUGAGCAGGAAAGAGGGGGAUCGCAAGACCUCUCGCUUUCGGAGCGGCCGAUGUCGGAUUAGCUAGUUGGUGGGGUGAAGGCCUACCAAGGCGACGAUCCGUAGCGGGUCUGAGAGGAUGAUCCGCCACACUGGAGCUGAGCCACGGUCCAGACUCCUACGGGAGGCAGCAGUGGGGAAUUUUGGACAAUGGGCGGAAGCCUGGUCCAGCCAUGCCGCGUGAGUGAAGAAGGCCUUCGGGUUGUAAAGCUCUUUCGGCUGAAAAGAAAUCGCACAGGCUAAUACCCUGUGUGGAUGACGGUAUCAGCAUAAGAAGCACCGGCUAACUACGUGCCAGCAGCCGCAGUAA